CCCAUGGGACAGAUUACUGUAACUCGGCUCAGAAGACACGGUUCUACUCCUCCCUGCAUUUCUGCAGUGGCUUGCAGAAUAAAUUCCUCCAUCUUCCUAAACCUGCUGUAUUCCCUGAAUAAGAUUCAGGUGCAGAAAUUAGGUCCAAACAAUUGGCUACUUGUGAGAACACACACAGAGAUGAAUCAACCUGUACCCUGAACCUGAAGCCAAUACAUACACUUCCGAAGGAAGCAUCCAAAUAACAGAUCUUCCACUUUUUCUACAUACCCAGACACUGAAACUACUCAGAAGUGUGGGGAGGAGAUGUUGAGAAAUCCCUUAUUUAUCGACUCCUGGAAAAUUAGAUUCACAUGUUAUGCAUGAAUACGUUUUUCCGAAUACCUGUCUGGGGCCUCACCAGUCAAUGGCUAAGGAUGAGAAAUACCUAACUCUACAAAUGGCAAAGGAAGUAUGUGGCAAGGUGUCUGAUGAUGAGAAAUGAAGGAGGAGGAACCUCAGCUGAGAGAGCAAGAAAAUGAUGCUUCCUCGUUCAGGACAAGAGAAAUGCUCUAGAGUUUCUUCUUCUUCUCCUCCCGUACGCCACACUACGGAGGUCUGAAUACAAGGGACACAGAUGCUAAUACACCGGCUAGAUUUAUGGAAUCUGCAGUAUCUCGGGCAAGCCAUCUCAAGUCUUUUACAGAAGGAGGCAGAGGAAGCAUCCAAAAUAAAUAACUCAAAUGGCCCAUGCAGUAUAAACUAAAAUUAGGGUAAAUAAAUGAAUACUA
Long non-coding RNA from Prionailurus viverrinus (fishing cat), 770 nucleotides. RefSeq lists it as uncharacterized. NCBI's taxonomy places the organism in Eukaryota, Metazoa, Chordata, Mammalia, Carnivora, Felidae. The record is from RefSeq and is a predicted model, not a curated record. The transcript has 5 exons.